Molecule: ribosomal RNA, 119 nt
Filed under: Salticidae sp. B MACT-2017
Lineage: Eukaryota; Metazoa; Arthropoda; Arachnida; Araneae; Salticidae
Description: partial 16S ribosomal RNA
Source: RNAcentral
AGUCUGUUCGACUUUUAAAAAAUUACAUGAUUUGAGUUCAGACCGGUGUAAGCCAGGUCGGUUUCCAUCUUCUAAAUAGUUUUUUACAGUACGAAAGGACCUAUUAAUAAAAUAUAAUU